CUUUAGUGCAAUUUUUCCUUAUUUGUUUGUUUUGUUUUUUUUUUUAAGUAAAUAGCUAGGCUUCUAAGCCCUACCACAGAGAGUCAACAGACAAACUGCCCAGGGAAAAGUUAUGACCUCAGGCAAAGUGAAUUUCUACAGCUAAGGCAGAUCCUGAAGAAGCUCACAAAUAAAGGCUGCAUACUCACACAUUCCCUGAAGCUUGACAGUGCCAGCCACCAUACUGUGAGGGAGCUGAAGUAAGCCCACAUGAGGAAGAAUUGAGGUCCCAAGCCAACAGCUGCAGCUAAGAUCCAAGCUCUCAACCAGUACCAGUUCAUCCGUUAUGCACACUAAGAUAUGGAAGCUAAAAGAGGACUAAGAGGAUUCUGGGGAUAUUACAAGAUAUUGCAGACUAUCUUGUUUUCCUGGAAAAGGAUUUUACCUCAGUCGACUGAAUUACUUUUUUCACUGUGUCUUGCCACUCUUCGUGCAUGCAUCAAAGACCCUAAUAUGACUUCUGGUGGCCUGGGACUCCUUGGGAAAACAGAAAAGGGGCCACAAAUCCCAUUUUGGGAACAAUCUGUUUUACUCAUGGAACCCCUGGAAUUAGAGAAACCAUCAAGCUUUAAAUGGUGUGGCAAAAGGAGCUGAAAAUUAAACUGACCUUCUACUGCAU
This 658-nucleotide long non-coding RNA is filed under the name Homo sapiens (human). RNAcentral describes it as "non-protein coding lnc-FAM174A-1:4". The record is from RNAcentral. Lineage: Eukaryota; Metazoa; Chordata; Mammalia; Primates; Hominidae.